RNAcentral lists this ribosomal RNA (253 nucleotides) under uncultured bacterium. RNAcentral's name for it is "partial 16S ribosomal RNA". It matches the Rfam family "Bacterial small subunit ribosomal RNA", at positions 524 to 776 of the family's 1533-position model. The record is from RNAcentral.
UACAGAGGGGGCAAGCGUUGUUCGGAAUUACUGGGCGUAAAGGGCGCGUAGGUGGCCUUCUAAGUUGAACGUGAAAUCCCCGAGCUCAACUCGGGAACUGCGUCCGAUACUGGCGGGCUUGAAUCCGGGAGAGGGAUGCGGAAUUCCAGGUGUAGCGGUGAAAUGCGUAGAUAUCUGGAGGAACACCGGUGGCGAAGGCGGCAUCCUGGACCGGCAUUGACGCUGAGGAGCGAAAGCUAGGGGAGCAAACGGG